GCCUCGUGUGAGGAUUGAACUCACGACCCCUGGUUUACGAGACCAGUGCUCUACCACUGAGCUAACGAGGCG
This 72-nucleotide transfer RNA is filed under the name Belgica antarctica. RNAcentral describes it as "tRNA IU25_tRNA_110". The record is from RNAcentral. Lineage: Eukaryota; Metazoa; Arthropoda; Insecta; Diptera; Chironomidae.